GGAUGUGAGAUGUCGAUCUGGCUGCGAUAUCUGUCACUCCACUGAUCGCCAGGGUUAAUUCGGCUGAUCUAGCUGGCUAGGCGGGUGUCCCCUUCCUCCCUCACCUCUCCAUAUGCAUCCCUCCCGAAGCUUCAUGCUGGGUCGAAGAGGAUGGCCUUCCCCACAUAGAGACCGACCCGUCUUUGGUUGAAGGUUUAGGAGUAGCUGCGCUCCCCUGCUAGAACCUCCAAACAAGCUCUCAUUAAUAUUUAUUAAGCACUACUCAAAGCACUUAUAUGUAAAUGCAUUUAAUUCUCACAACAAGCUUAAGACAAAAUAAUCAUUAUGACUGAUAGUAUUAUAUU
RNAcentral lists this small nuclear RNA (344 nucleotides) under Erinaceus europaeus (western European hedgehog). RNAcentral's name for it is "7SK RNA". It matches the Rfam family "7SK RNA". From Rfam's summary of the family: 7SK was discovered as an abundant small nuclear RNA in the mid-70s but a possible function has only recently been suggested. Two independent studies have found that 7SK RNA binds the CDK9/cyclin T complex (known as elongation factor P-TEFb). Lineage: Eukaryota; Metazoa; Chordata; Mammalia; Eulipotyphla; Erinaceidae. The record is from Rfam by way of RNAcentral.